RNAcentral lists this long non-coding RNA (1313 nucleotides) under Junco hyemalis (dark-eyed junco). RNAcentral describes it as "lncRNA (ENSJHYG00000001925.1)". Lineage: Eukaryota; Metazoa; Chordata; Aves; Passeriformes; Passerellidae. The record is from RNAcentral.
UCGGAGCUCGCCUGCGACUCUGCGGCGGCGCUGGCGCUGUCGCGGGCGCGGGCGCGGCUGCAGCGCGGCGCGGUGGCCGCGGUGCUGCGCGGGGACGUGCCCGGCGUCGGCGGCGGCCUCGGGGACACGGCGGGCGCGGUGGCGGCGCGGGUGACCGGGGACGCGGAGGCGGCGCACGCGGCGCUGGCGGACGCGCUGGUGCCGGCGCUGUGGGCGCUGUCGCGGGCGGCGGCGCUGCUGGCGGCCGUGGCCUGGCUGUCCCCGGCGCUGGGGCUGCUGACGGCGCUGGCGCUGCCGCUGCUGCUGCUGCUGCCGCGCGCCGUGGCACGGCUGCAGCAGGUACGGCCGUGUCACCGUGUCACCAAUGCCACCAAUGUCACCUCUGUGUCACUCUGUGUGCUCAGUGUCACCUCCGUGUCACCGGGGUCACCUCUGUGUCACUCUGUGUGUUUAGUGUCACCUCCGUGUCACCAGUGUCACAUCUGUGUGCUCAUUGUCACCUCCGUGUCACCAGUGUCACCUCUGUGUGCCCUCUGUCACCUCCGUGUCACCAGUGUCACCUCUGUGUCACUCUGUGUGCUUAGUGUCACCUCCAUGUCACCGGGGUCACCUCUGUGUGCCCUCUGUCACCUCUGUGUCACCGCGGUCACCUCUCUGUCACCGGUGUCACCAGUGUCACCUCUGUGUGCCCUCUGUCACCUCUGUGUUACCGGUGUCACCUCCUUGUCCUCAUUGUCACCUCUGUGUCACCAGUGUCACCUCGGUGUGCCCUUGGUCACCUCUGUGUCACCAGUGUCACCUCUGUGUGCCCUUUGUCACCUCUCCGUCACCUCUGUGUCACCAUUGUCAGUUCUUUGUCCCAGAUGUCACCUCUCUGUCCCCAUUGUCACCUCUGUGUCACCAGUGUCACCUUUGUGUGCCCUGUGUCACCUCUGUGUCACCACUGUCACCUCCCUGUCCCCAUUGUCAUUUCCGUGUCCCCAUUGUCACCUCCCUGUCCCCAUGGUGACCCCGAGGUGACUUCCCUGUCCCCUCAUGACCCCUUGGUGACCCUGAUGACCCCUUGGUGACCCCGUGGUCAUCCCCUGUCCCACCCACCCUGUGUCCCCAAAUCCUUGUGGUGUCCCCACAGUGUCCCCCUUGUCCCCAGUGUGUCCCCCUGACCCCCUUGUCCCCUGUGUGACCCCAGGGUGACCCUGUGUCCCCAGUGUGACCGUGUCCCCCUUUGUCCCCAGCGUCACCCAGUGUGACCCUGUGUCCCCCUUUGUCCCCAGCGUCACCCAGUGUGACCCUGUGUCCCAAGUGUCCCCCAG